This 839-nucleotide long non-coding RNA is filed under the name Parus major (Great Tit). RNAcentral describes it as "lncRNA (ENSPMJG00000000537.1)". Lineage: Eukaryota; Metazoa; Chordata; Aves; Passeriformes; Paridae. The record is from RNAcentral.
CCGCGGGGCCCGGGCAGCGCCGGAGGGAGCCCCGCGGGCCCGGGGGAGCGCGGCCGCCGGCCCUGCUCCGCUCCAGGGAGCCCGGCCUGGGCGGCUCGGGGGGAGCCGGGGCCGAACUGUCGCCUCUGCAGCCGCCUGGGGAGAGGGUCCGUCAGCAACAACGGGGCGUUUCGUACCUUCCUAUGGAGGUACCUUCGAGGCCGAGCUCCUAAGUUGAAGUCUGCUGAAGCGUCCUUAGUCUUUGCUGCAUAGGCCGCUAAAGCCGUCUACCUUUCAGUGGAUCCAAAAGCACGUGUUUUGGAUUGUAAGCAAGAAACAAAGAAUGAAGGAAAGCCAGGAAGUCAUCAAUCUAGGAAAAAAGUUAGAGUUUUAACUAUGGCUCCUCCCAACAACUGAUUAAAGGCUAAGACAGCAGCUUGGCUGGAAAGACUGCUUCCCUCCUGACUCCCAAGAGGAAUUCUAUUGGGAAGGGGAGAGAGCCCAAGCAAAAACAGAAGGAACGGAAUCUGACUGAUGAGCGUGGAAAAUGAAGGAACAAUUCAAGAUUUCACACACACCAACCCAUCACUUUCAACUGUUUCAUUUUUUGUAGUUGUUUCAGGCUCUGUUUAAGACUUUUGCUCCUUCUGUGGAGCACUGAGAAACUGGGAAGAGAAAGGGGAACUAACUACUCCAUCUAUCAGGAGGCUUCCCUCUGGCCCAAAGCUGUGUACACUCCCACCGGGGAUCUUCAGGGGAAGCACAUUUUGUGCUGCAGAACAUGUGCUAGUUUACAUCCUGUUUUCAUUUCUGCAGAAAAUUCACUUCCUAAACAGUAAUGGUGAGAGUUUCUGUAAUCU